This 1039-nucleotide long non-coding RNA is filed under the name Felis catus (domestic cat). Its description in RNAcentral is "lncRNA (ENSFCAG00000045137.2)". Lineage: Eukaryota; Metazoa; Chordata; Mammalia; Carnivora; Felidae. The record is from RNAcentral.
CAGACCCGGAGGGGCGGGUUCCUCUGCCUAGGCAGUGAUGGCCAGCAGAGGGCGCACCAUCGGCUUUUCUGACUCAGGGCACCUGAGAGCAGGAAGGGCUUCUGUUGCUCCCAGAGGACUCAGGGCCUCUGCUGCUGCCUCAGGACAGAGAGCAGAGCUGCGUUUCCAGCGGGUUCUGCCGCCCGCCCCAGGGGAGACCUUGGGAGCUUUGCAGCAACUUGGCAUCUCCUGAGUCGCCAGAGAGAAGCUGCCAUGUUGUACUGAGUGCUGAGGAGGGGGCACUGGGUGGCUUCCCUGGGCUAGCUGGUUGCUGAGCAGCACAGGCCCUUGCAUUUUCUGGGCUGUUCCCGUGUUUCAUCCCUCCCCUUCCCGGACAGUAUUUGAACAAGACAUAUUUUACUAAAGGACUCGUGGGUUGCUGGGUCCCACGACAUCACCUCAUAGAUGCAGUCGGUGGUUUGUUCCAGAUUCAGGCUUGUUUCCAGGAAGAAACCCUGACAGAAAUUCAGAAGAACGGGAGCUGCAUUCAGUUAGGAUGUGGAUAUAUGAAAUGCUUGUCUCAGGACCUUCUAGAAGAAUGAGCUGGGACCCACGUUCCGAGUCCUGCUGGCACCAGAGACCGAGGAAGCUGAAAAUGACACUGAGAACUGGCGGCAAAGAAGAAUCAGCUGGCAGCUGCAAGCAACAAAUUGAACAAACACGGGAACGGCUGCAGCAGGCAGAGCUCACCUUUAGACACCAGAUCGCAGUUCAUAAGAAGAAUGCUCAGGACAACUAGGUAAGUGUUUUCUUGUUUCCUCCUCUUUCUUUGGUGCACAGUCUGGCACGACUGAAGGUGGAUGUGUCUUUUCUCCCCCAGCUCAAGACUCAGAUCUGGGACAGGGAGAUGGCGGAGCAGGGCAGGGAGGUCCUUACUUGAAAUACAGGUGUGGUCAUUUGACUUGCGUUUUUAUGGGUGUUUCCAGGGAUGACACCCGCACUGUUUGUUGUCUAGUAGACGACAUGGUGUUGCAACUCUUAUAGAAGUCCAUUAUUUUUC